GCAUCAAUGGGGUAGUGGUAACCUGGGUCGUUGCCAUUGCGAAAAAGUAACAGUUCUCGACCCGCCGGGGGUUCAAUUCCCCCUUGAUGCA
This is a non-coding RNA of Termitomyces sp. T32_za158, 91 nucleotides long. The record is from the annotation of a GenBank genome assembly. Lineage: Eukaryota; Fungi; Basidiomycota; Agaricomycetes; Agaricales; Lyophyllaceae.